GACGAACGCUGGCGGCGUGCCUAAUACAUGCAAGUAGAACGCACAGUUUAUACCGUAGCUUGCUACACCAUAAACUGUGAGUUGCGAACGGGUGAGUAACGCGUAGGUAACCUGCCUGGUAGCGGGGGAUAACUAUUGGAAACGAUAGCUAAUACCGCAUAAUAUUAAUUAUUGCAUGAUAAUUGAUUGAAAGAUGCAAUUGCAUCACUACCAGAUGGACCUGCGUUGUAUUAGCUAGUAGGUGAGGUAACGGCUCACCUAGGCGACGAUACAUAGCCGACCUGAGAGGGUGAUCGGCCACACUGGGACUGAGACACGGCCCAGACUCCUACGGGAGGCAGCAGUAGGGAAUCUUCGGCAAUGGACGAAAGUCUGACCGAGCAACGCCGCGUGAGUGAAGAAGGUUUUCGGAUCGUAAAGCUCUGUUGUAAGAGAAGAACGGGUGUGAGAGUGGAAAGUUCACACUGUGACGGUAUCUUACCAGAAAGGGACGGCUAACUACGUGC
RNAcentral lists this ribosomal RNA (506 nucleotides) under uncultured bacterium. Its description in RNAcentral is "partial 16S ribosomal RNA". It matches the Rfam family "Bacterial small subunit ribosomal RNA", at positions 28 to 508 of the family's 1533-position model. The record is from RNAcentral.